GUUCGAUUCGAGCGCAGCGAGAAAGCGUUGCCAACGGCAACGGCCCGAAGGGCGAAGCGCGCAGCGCUGAGUCAUCCUUCCCCCACCACCA
This 91-nucleotide small RNA is filed under the name Salmonella enterica. RNAcentral's name for it is "partial RtT sRNA". It matches the Rfam family "RtT RNA", at positions 41 to 130 of the family's 130-position model. Rfam says of the family: This family represents a bacterial cis-regulatory element known as RtT RNA. The exact function of RtT is unknown although it is thought that it may be involved in changing the cellular response in relation to amino acid starvation. Lineage: Bacteria; Pseudomonadati; Pseudomonadota; Gammaproteobacteria; Enterobacterales; Enterobacteriaceae. The record is from RNAcentral.